AUGAUAGCUACAAUUAAAACUAUUAAACACACUGUGCUCUCGUCUGUCUGUCUGUCUCCAGGUGUCUCUCGCCCUCGCCACGCCUUGAUCUCCACCUCGCUGAGGAAGCGCUUCGGGAGGCGGAGCCGGCGUCUCAAGGCGGGGAAAGCCAAUCAGAGCGCGGCUGAGCCGGCCGACUCACCGGAGCAGGACGACACGAACGUCAGGAAGAGCAAAAGAAUCAAGCAGAGCCAGCCGGACGAGGAGAGCACGCCGACGAAGAAGAGGAGGAAGAAGGCCGGAGCGAAGGAGGAGUCCGUCGCCGAGGAGGUGGAGCAGGAGGAGGCCACGCCCCCCAGCCUAGAGAAGAAGAAGAAGAAGAAAAAGAAGACCAUUGGAGGAGAGGAGGCAGGGGGCGGAGCGGACCAAGAGGAGGUCACUCCAGAGCCUCCGGCCAAGAAGAAGAAGAGGACCAGACCGGCAGAAAAGGUGGAGGAGGAACCGGAGGCAGAACCUGAACCUGUCAGGAAAAAGAAGUCGACCAAAAAGAAGGUUCUGCAAUGA
RNAcentral lists this long non-coding RNA (543 nucleotides) under Gadus morhua (Atlantic cod). RNAcentral describes it as "lncRNA (ENSGMOG00000030097.1)". Lineage: Eukaryota; Metazoa; Chordata; Actinopteri; Gadiformes; Gadidae. The record is from RNAcentral.